UUAAAUAAUUACUUAAAUGUGUCAUUAAUUAAUUAAAAUACCGAUUCAUUGUAUGUGAAAUGCAUAUAUAACUAUUUCACUAUUUACAUUUCAUGAUCCUGCAUUGCAGCGCUUCAUGAAUUACUUAAAACUGUCAAACUGACCCAUCAAAAGUUGGUAGGCGGAACCUGAACGCCUGAUUGGUUACCCUGUGCAUCAAGUCAAGACAAAUCAAUUCCAGGUAAUGGAUCGCUGCAGAGCUACUGAACACAUUCCAAUACACUGGGUGGCGCUAUUCACCUCUACGUUGGUUUGGAUACGCUGUUAAACAGAACUUUCAUUGCAACGGCGGAGAGAUGACGCGGUCCUGCUAGACCCAAUGACCAAGGACGCAGACGCCGUGCGAGGUGCAGGACAAAAUGUCAAAAAGUUGCCCGGAGCUGCUGAGAGAAGCAGCGAAUUUGAUUGAGGAAGCUCUGAGCAGAAGUCCAACGGCUCCGUCGUCACAGAAGAUACCGGCCGCUCAAUCACGUACACAAAGCUCCAACAAGGGGGAGGCUUUGAAUUUCUAAAACUUGUAGGAUCUACUCUCAGUCGAAAUCUUGCAUUGCUUCAAUGUCCCAGCACUGGAUCCACCCUUGCCUAUCUGAAAGAUCCAUCGACGAUGAUUGGACAGGCUACAAUCUACAUACGUCCACUUCAACAGGAUCUACCCUUAGAUUGUGUACAUAAAUUUACAGUGACCUAGUUUAAUACAAAAUCAAAACAAAGAUUACUAGUGACUUUUAAUCAUUAAUUAAAAUCCAUUUGUUGUUGUUAGGAGAGCUCACGUCCUGCCUCUGGUCCAGUCAUCCCCUGCAUCACUUGUCAGAAGGAAGUUCCCUUUUCAGAGGUGAAGCUCCACAGAUUGAGCUGCAAUGGGUAUGUACUUCCUAAAGCAAUGCAAAGGUAGCAUAUUCGUUUUCUUUGGGAAUAUGUCCUCUUAGAGUGUUGUGCACACAAAUAAGCCAGUAUGACCAUCAUUUCAAUUGUGUUCACUUCAAGGACACCCAUGCAGGAAAGAGAACAAGAGGGAGGCCAAAGGGAAGAAAAUGAUAGUGAGACAGCCCUAGUCAGUGACAGUGUUCCAGUGAGGUCUGAAACAUCAGCUGAGAGUGCAGUAGUUCCAGCAGUGAUUGUCAACGAGGAGUUGGAUCGCAAAGAAACAGUGUGUGUGUCAUCACAAAUGUGUUAUAAGAUUGUGUGUAACUGAAAAGUCAAUAGAAAGAUAACACUUGUAAGAUAUAAUUGGAUAAGAUAAUACAGUUACAGGCAAUUAAUAACAUGCACCUGGGUUUUUCUAUUUUUCUCAUAUUUAGUUUUUGUUGAAUGCCGUUUUUAUGUCAACUCAGCGUUGUGACAGAUUUUGGGAAACCACUUAGAAUGAAGAUGGAUGUAAGGGAGUCUGAAGAGGACCGGGAACGGGAGCUUCUCUUAUUCUAUAAACAGCAGCAAGAAUGGGCAUGUCCUCUUCAUUGUACUCUGGUUGGUAAGUAAUAUAAAGUUUAUAAUAUAAAUACACCAGUACAGUUUAUACCACUCAAGUAGCAUAUAUGGAAUUGUCCCAUUCGAAAAUGGGAGAAUGGAAUGCACAAAAUUAUAUAAUUGAUAAAAAUGUUAUGUAUGUGAAUAUUGUGCACAAUAUACUUUUAUGUGGAAUAAUCAAUAUUAAGGAUGCUGGUCUAGAAUUACAGCCAAUAGAAUUUUGACUAUUUUUCUCCCUUGCUUGUUAAAUGUUAGCUAAUCCAGUUACCUGUAUUUCUCCGCCACUUUUUUUCCACUGUGUUAUUAUCGGUAGUUUAUUUCAGGUGAUGUUGCUGUUGGAGAGGGAGUGAUGCGGUACUUUAUGACAACAAUCAUAUCCAAACUCCAGUUUGGAUUCAGUCUAGAUCUUGGAGGAAUGGGCCGAACACUGCUAUUUGAGGGUGAACCUGACCAUCUUGUUCCAGCAGCAUCAGAGGCACUUAUUGAAAGCAACCUCUUCUGGGUUGCAGGAAGGAUGUUGGCCCACACCUUUCUGCAUGACGGUCCCCAUGUCACAGGAUUAAGUCCUGCUGUAAUUCAUGUACUGUUCAAUGGGGACCCUGAAAUGGCUACUGUUGUUGUUGAAGACUGUCCUGAUCUGCACAUCAGGAGCAUCAUAGAACUUUUAUGUAACCUAAAAGAAACUUUGCCAUGUAAAAAAUAUUGCUUGGGCAGAUAUAAUAAAUAGUAUGGUCCUUAUUCUAUCUUGAACAAGAAGAACUUGUUCUUGGAACAGAAAGAAACAGUUUCAGAUCUUUCCAUGUCUUGGGAUCAUCCGGCAGUCACCAAAACAAAUCGGAGAUGGCUACAUAAUAAACUUCUACUCCAUGCAGUCGUUGGGAGGACCAUGCGCCAAAUUAAACAGUUGACAAAGGGACUGAAAGAUGUGAUGGUAUGGCCCCUGCUGACAUCUAGGCCAGAUGUUGUCCCACUUCCUUUCCCCAAAAUGGCUGAAAUGCAGUUCACACCCCAGAUGCUCCUAGAAAAAUCACAUGGCCAGUUGAGGACAGUGAUGAUGAAGACUUUGACUUGGACACCACCUGCCGCUUCACUGGCUUUCUAAGGAUGUUCAUUGAAACAGCUUCAUCAGGUACCCUGGCCCAGCUGCUGACAUUCUGGGUUGGCUGGGAGAUGCUUCCUCCUGAACUGACAGUGGAGAUUUCUGAGGGAACCCUUCCUAUGUCCUCCACAUGCUUUGAAACACUAAACCUGCCAUCCAUCCAUCCAUCCAUCGUCAAACCGCUUAUCCUGCAGACAGGGUCGCGGGGGGGCUGGAGUCCAUCCCAGCCAACUUUGGGCGAUAGACCGGGUACAUCCUGGA
Molecule: non-coding RNA, 2863 nt
Organism: Gasterosteus aculeatus aculeatus (three-spined stickleback)
Lineage: Eukaryota; Metazoa; Chordata; Actinopteri; Perciformes; Gasterosteidae
Source: RefSeq, a predicted model, not a curated record